Molecule: RNA transcript, 1796 nt
Organism: Populus euphratica (Euphrates poplar)
Lineage: Eukaryota; Viridiplantae; Streptophyta; Magnoliopsida; Malpighiales; Salicaceae
Gene name: protein ELC-like
Exons: 2
Source: RefSeq, a predicted model, not a curated record
AAUCCGACUAAAAAACACAGCAUCAUCCCCCACAAACGUCCUCAGUUUCAGUUCCUCGGGAAAAACAAUAAAACGGAAGCUUGAAACUUGUCCUUCCUUAGCCAGCAAGAAAAAGCAGAAAACUCUCCCCCUCCAUCAAUGGUUCCUCCACCGUCGUCAAACCACCUAGCAAUCCAACAAUUCCUCUCCUCCGUCCUCUCUCAACGCGGCACUUCCGCUCUUCCUUACUCCGAAGACACCAAAUGGCUCAUCCGCCAACACCUUCUUUCACUCACCACUACUUCCCCUUCUCUCGAACCCAAAACCGCUACCUUCACUCACAACGAUGGUCGCACCGUCAAUCUUCUCCAGGCUGACGGCACCGUUCCGAUCACUUUCAUAUCUGUCACUUAUAACAUCCCGGUUAUCAUCUGGCUUAUCGAAUCUUACCCUCGCCACCCUCCUUGUGUUUACGUGAACCCCACACGCGAUAUGAUCAUCAAAAGAUCUCAUCCUUUUGUUAAUCCCUCGGGGCUCGUUUCCAUCCCUUAUUUGCAGAAUUGGAUCUACCCUAGUUCCAAUUUGGUUGAUUUGGCUCGCGAGCUGAGCUCGGUUUUUGGGAGGGAUCCUCCUCUGUUUUCCCAACGCCCUAAACCUAACCCUAAUCCCAAUUAUCAUCCAAAUCAAUCGAGUCUUGGGUCAGUGGGUAACACGGGAGGUGGUGGUGGGUAUCCGAGACCGAUUGUCAGAUCACCACAGUAUCCGCCAUAUGGUAGUGGUGGUGCGGUGGGGAAGGUGGAGGCGGAGGAUGCAGCGGAGGUUUAUAAAAGAAAUGUGAUUAAUAAGCUUGUGGAGAAUGUUCACGGGGAUAUGUUGCAGUUGAGUAAAACGAGGGAGGCGGAGAUGGAAAGCUGGUUUAGCGCACAAUCUGUGUUGAGGGGGAGAGAGGAGGAGUUUAAUAAAGGGUUGAAAGAAAUGAGAGAUAAGAUGGAAGGGUUGGAGUUGCAUUUGCAAGUUGUUUUGAUGAAUACGGAUGUUUUGGAAGCAUGGGUUAGGGAAAAUAAGGGGAAGUUGAAAGGGGGCUCGGAGGAUAUUGACGUGGAUAAUGCUUUUGAGUGUGUGGAUGUUUUGUCGAAGCAGAUGUUGGAGUGCACAGCGGUGGAUAUGGCAAUUGAGGAUGCGGUUUAUUCUUUGGAGAAAGCAGUGCAAGAAGGGGCAAUGCCAUUUGAUCAAUAUUUGAGGAAUGUGAGGUUGUUGUCUAGAGACCAGUUUUUUAACAGAGCCACUGCAGCGAAAGUUAGGGCUGCACAAAUGCAGGCUCAGGUUGCUGGUAUGGCUGCCAGGGCACCACGUUAUGGUACCUGAGUGAUUGUUUUGAUUGUGAAUUCGAUACGGGGUUGUAGCAUUUAUGGAGAUGCUGGAAGGAUAUCAGUAUAGUGUGAGUGCUAGGUCAACUGAUGUAGUCUUCAGCCGAACCAUGGGGCUUCAAGUUCCACACCCUCCAGUUGAAAUCCAGAUGAUUUUGUUCUUUAGUUCCUCCAUAAUCAUCAAGCUUUCCAUGUCUAUUUGAGGAAUGAAAGCAAUGUCAUAUUUUAAGAUUGCACAGGCCCGUGCGUGUGCACCUUCAUGUGAUCCGUGUCAAACAGGCAGGCAUAGAAAUUCAUUAAUUUUAGGUGGUAUAUAUAGUUGAUUAAAAAGGGGAAAUAAUUGAUGGAAGGGUGGGGAGAAGGUGAGGUUAUAUAUGUAUAUUGUAUUGGUUCGACUUGAUUUUUCAAUGGAUGUGGACUACAAAUAUAUGGGAGCAUGUUGUUUUUGUG